This 116-nucleotide ribosomal RNA is filed under the name Candidatus Woesearchaeota archaeon. The record is from RNAcentral. Lineage: Archaea; Nanobdellati; Candidatus Woesearchaeota.
UUGGACGGCCAGAGCGGAUUGGUUCACCUGUUCCCAUUUCGAACACAGAAGUUAAGCAAUCAUGCGUUCGAGGUUGUACUGCAUUUAUGUGCGGAAACCCUUGGAAGCUGUCCUCU